GGGGAAUAUUGCACAAUGGGCGCAAGCCUGAUGCAGCCAUGCCGCGUGUAUGAAGAAGGCCUCCGGGUUGUAAAGUACUUCAAGCGGGGGGGAAGGUGUUGUGGUUACAAACCGCAGAAAUUGACGUUCCGCGAGUAAGAAGCCCGGCGAAACCAGUUGCCAGCAGCGCGGUAAACGGAGGGUGCAAGCGUUAAUCGGAAUUACUGGGCGUAAAGCGCACGCAGGCGGUCUGUCAAGUCGGAUGUGAAAUCCCCGGGCUCAACCUGGGAACUGCAUUCGAAACUGGCAGGCUAGAGUCUUGUAGAGGGGGGUAGAAUUCCAGGUGUAGCGGUGAAAUGCGUAGAGAUCUGGAGGAAUAUCGGUGGCGAAGGCGGCCCCCUGGACAAAGACUGACGCUCAGGUGCGAAAGCGUGGGGAGCAAACA
This 424-nucleotide ribosomal RNA is filed under the name uncultured Enterobacteriaceae bacterium. RNAcentral describes it as "bacterial SSU rRNA". It matches the Rfam family "Bacterial small subunit ribosomal RNA", at positions 356 to 774 of the family's 1533-position model. The record is from RNAcentral. Lineage: Bacteria; Pseudomonadati; Pseudomonadota; Gammaproteobacteria; Enterobacterales; Enterobacteriaceae.